Molecule: ribosomal RNA, 468 nt
Filed under: uncultured bacterium
Lineage: Bacteria
Description: partial 16S ribosomal RNA
Rfam family: Bacterial small subunit ribosomal RNA
Source: RNAcentral
GACGAACGCUGGCGGCGUGCUUAACACAUGCAAGUCGAACGGAAAGGCCCUGCUUUUGUGGGGUGCUCGAGUGGCGAACGGGUGAGUAACACGUGAGUAACCUGCCCUUGACUUUGGGAUAACUUCAGGAAACUGGGGCUAAUACCGGAUAGGAGCUCCUGCUGCAUGGUGGGGGUUGGAAAGUUUCGGCGGUUGGGGAUGGACUCGCGGCUUAUCAGCUUGUUGGUGGGGUAGUGGCUUACCAAGGCUUUGACGGGUAGCCGGCCUGAGAGGGUGACCGGCCACAUUGGGACUGAGAUGCGGCCCAGACUCCUACGGGAGGCAGCAGUGGGGAAUAUUGCACAAUGGGCGGAAGCCUGAUGCAGCAACGCCGCGUGCGGUAUGACGGCCUUCGGGUUGUAAACCGCUUUCGCCUGUGACGAAGCGUGAGUGACGGUAAUGGGUAAAGAAGCACCGGCUAACUACGUG